This 690-nucleotide ribosomal RNA is filed under the name uncultured Acidobacteriota bacterium. RNAcentral's name for it is "bacterial SSU rRNA". It matches the Rfam family "Bacterial small subunit ribosomal RNA", at positions 15 to 737 of the family's 1533-position model. Lineage: Bacteria; Pseudomonadati; Acidobacteriota. The record is from RNAcentral.
GAUCCUGGCUCAGAAUCAACGCUGGCGGCGUGCCUAACACAUGCAAGUCGAACGAGAAAGUGGAGCAAUCCAUGAGUAAAGUGGCGCACGGGUGAGUAACACGUGACUAACCUACCCUUGAGUGGGGGAUAACCUCGGGAAACCUUGGCUAAUACCGCAUAACACCUACGGGUCAAAGGAGCAAUUCGCUUAAGGAGGGGGUCGCGGCAGAUUAGCUAGUUGGCGGGGUAAUGGCCCACCAAGGCGGUGAUCUGUAUCCGGCCUGAGAGGGCGCACGGACACACUGGAACUGAAACACGGUCCAGACUCCUACGGGAGGCAGCAGUGGGGAAUUUUGCGCAAUGGGGGAAACCCUGACGCAGCAACGCCGCGUGGAGGAUGAAGUCCCUUGGGACGUAAACUCCUUUCGACCGGGACGAUUAUGACGGUACCGGAAGAAGAAGCCCCGGCUAACUUCGUGCCAGCAGCCGCGGUAAUACGAGGGGGGCGAGCGUUGUUCGGAAUUAUUGGGCGUAAAGGGUGCGUAGGCGGUUCGGUAAGUUUCGUGUGAAAUCUUCGGGCUCAACUCGAAGCCUGCACGAAAUACUGCCGGGCUUGAGUAUGGGAGAGGUGAGUGGAAUUUCCGGUGUAGCGGUGAAGUGCGUAGAUAUCGGAAGGAACACCUGUGGCGAAAGCGGCUCACUGGACCAU